This 454-nucleotide ribosomal RNA is filed under the name uncultured bacterium. RNAcentral's name for it is "SSU rRNA". It matches the Rfam family "Bacterial small subunit ribosomal RNA", at positions 26 to 518 of the family's 1533-position model. The record is from RNAcentral.
AGGAUGAACGCUGGCGGCGUGCCUAAUACAUGCAAGUCGAGCGGUAAGGCCCCUUCGGGGGUACACGAGCGGCGGACGGCUGAGUAACACGUAGGAACGUACCCCAAACUGAGGGAUAAGCACCAGAAAUGGUGUCUAAUACCGCAUGUGGUCUUCGGAUUAAAGCUUCGGCGGUUUGGGAACGGCCUGCGCAUGAUUAGCUUGUUGGUGAGGUAAAAGCUUACCAAGGCGACGAUCAUUAGCUGGUCUGAGAGGAUGAUCAGCCAGACUGGGACUGAGAACGGCCCAGACUCCUACGGGAGGCAGCAGUAGGGAAUUUUCCACAAUGGGCGAAAGCCUGAUGGAGCAACGCCGCGUGCAGGACGAAGGCCUUCGGGUUGUAAACUGCUUUAUAUGUGAAGAUUAUGACGGUAGCAUAUGAAUAAGGAUCGGCUAACUCCGUGCCAGCAGCCGC